GAUGAACGCUGGCGGCGUGCCUAAUACAUGCAAGUCGAGCGAACGGACGAGAAGCUUGCUUUUCUGAUGUUAGCGGCGGACGGGUGAGUAACACGUGGAUAACCUACCUAUAAGACUGGGAUAACUUCGGGAAACCGGAGCUAAUACCGGAUAAUAUUUUGAACCGCAUGGUUCAAAAGUGAAAGACGGUCUUGCUGUCACUUAUAGAUGGAUCCGCGCUGCAUUAGCUAGUUGGUAAGGUAACGGCUUACCAAGGCAACGAUGCAUAGCCGACCUGAGAGGGUGAUCGGCCACACUGGAACUGAGACACGGUCCAGACUCCUACGGGAGGCAGCAGUAGGGAAUCUUCCGCAAUGGGCGAAAGCCUGACGGAGCAACGCCGCGUGAGUGAUGAAGGUCUUCGGAUCGUAAAACUCUGUUAUUAGGAAAGAACAUAUGUGUAAGUAACUGUGCACAUCUUGACGGUACCUAAUCAGAAAGCCACGGCUAACUACGUG
RNAcentral lists this ribosomal RNA (497 nucleotides) under uncultured bacterium. Its description in RNAcentral is "partial 16S ribosomal RNA". It matches the Rfam family "Bacterial small subunit ribosomal RNA", at positions 28 to 507 of the family's 1533-position model. The record is from RNAcentral.